Molecule: long non-coding RNA, 749 nt
Organism: Pseudopipra pipra
Lineage: Eukaryota; Metazoa; Chordata; Aves; Passeriformes; Pipridae
Exons: 3
Source: RefSeq, a predicted model, not a curated record
UUUCCCUUCUCUGCCCUUCUUCCCCAAAUCUCCAGCAAUUGUGGCUUAACUUGUUUGUCAGAGACUAGGCUGGAGCUGUAGAUUUGAACCCCCUCACACUGAGGAGGUCGCUGAACCGUAGUCAGCUCACCAGUUUCUGGGUGAGUGCUUUAACCACUGCUAUAAAAGAUGAGCAGCAGCAUCACCACCAUCCAUCUUUAAAAAUAAAGAGUAAUCCAGUCGUCUAGCCCUCAAGGAACAAAGUGCCUAUGAGUCAGGGAGUUUUGCUGAAUGUGGAUGUGGGUUACAUCUUAAUGCUUAACUGGAGGCUCUGUGUGCAUAGCUUAGUCCUAUAGGAAAUGUAAUUUUGGAUUAUUAACCUCUCUUCAUCAUUUCCUGGCAGAUUUGAACAUCACCUCAACUCCACAUACUUUCUGCUAAAAAUCUUUGUUUUCAGUGACAUGGGAGAUGGAGAUGCUCAGAACCUCCUGGUAAUACACUACUUUCCAGCUCCACAGCUUCAUUUUUCUGCACUUGAAGUGUUCAGCAUAAAGAUAUGACGGUCUGAGGGCUUUUUAGAAAAGAAAGAUGACAAAGUACAUUCAUACUCAAAGACUUUGAGAAAUAAACUCAUCUGUUAUGCUAUGGGAAGGGAUUUAAGGGUAUGGCCCCAAAACCUGUGCUCAGGCCAUCAGUCAAAAGCUCUGCUUCUUAUGGUAAGUUGUUUUUAAACCAAGAGUAUCUGAGAGAUGUGUAAGGAAAAUUAAGAU